CAUGUUGCAACUUUAAACUUAUUCCUGAAAAGAGAAAUUUUAGAGGAAUAAUAGGGAAUAGGGAUUUGCUGAUCCCCAUUUAUCUAUCAUGCAAGCGGGGCUUAAAGAAGCUUUAUUUUUAAAGGCGAAGGUCUCCCUCCCGUUCGAAUACCCUUCGACCUUCGACCUUCUCCCCACGGAAAUGAACCAGAGUAGACGGCGAUGGAGUCCCCUCUCCUCUAACUAAACCCUAGUUUCUCCCAUAGAAACCCUAAUCAAACUCAGCUCCAUGCGAGGAGGGACAGAUAUGGAUAGCUUCAAGAUUCGAUUCGCCGUUUCGCUGGUUACCUCUCUCUCUGGCGUUCUCCUCGGGAGCCCGGUGAUGGUGAUCCACAUGCUGGCCGGCUACAGGUUUUCGGUUUCUUGUUCCAGUUCUUCUCUCUCCUCUCCUCGUUGAAUCGAGGAGUGCUUCCCUUUUGCGAUCGUUGAGAAAUCUCGUGAAAGGUUUGCGGCUCUGCUUCUAGUCUUCUCCUUCACAUCUUCAAAUCGUACAAGGGUUGGAGAGGAGAGGAAGAGGGACAUUGAUGCUGGGUUCAAGGAAGGAGGGCAGCGGAAUUGGGUUCCAGUUCUAUAGCUAAUAGUGCUCUUGCGACUAUCUUGGUAAUCAUAUUUGCAGCAAUAGGUGGUGGCCAAGAUAGAUGCUUGGACACAAGACAGUCAAGGCUUGUGACUGGCCUUGUUGGUGGUGUCAUUGGUCAUUAUGCCUGAUGCAAUGGUGAAACUUGGUCUUUGGAACUAGGAAUUUUUAGCAAUUCACAACCAUGACUAGUUACAAUCUUUGAGACAGCCCGAAAGGCAAAUGGUGGAGUCACUAUGGAGGGACUUCUAGGAGCUGCAGUAGCUGGCUGUGUUAUUGGGCUGGCUUUUGUUGUCAUUGGAUUGCUUACAACAGAAUGUGCUGGAGAUGUAGCUAGCAUUCACCUCCUGGUGGUUGGAAAACGGGGACCAACUGCGAUCAAGAUCUCGGUAAUGAACAAUGCAGUGUCAAUAUUUUUAACUACACUGCUUACCUCCAUUGCAUGCUUGGACAGGUUAACAUCUUUCAGAAAGCUUGGCUAGACGGAUGAAGUUAUCAGACUGCCAUAAAAAUCAUUCCUCACCAUUUUGAUGGGGUAAGAUUGAUCAAACUCUAUCCUGCAACAUGAUGAACUUUUGUUGGCCAACAGUACACAGUCAAUGCUAGGGGCAUCAAAAAGUUAAAUAAUAUGGAUCUGUGCAUGUUUUACAGCAUUUCUUGUUAUUUUAGUGCAGACAUACAGCUUAACAUAGUUCAAGAUAGAUAAGGCUCUUGGCAGAAAAUGAACAAAGAUGGAAACAUGGGAUCUACUAUCUGGAACCUCAAGUGGCCUUCAUGUCUUGAGCCGGAUAACCUGCGUGAUCAGCAAUGCCUCGAACCCACUUCUCAAGAAGGAGAUAAGAAAAAGGCCUCAAAUCCAAUCAAUCCUUCAGGUCCUAUCAAACGCGAUAGAGGUUUGCACCCAUUUGCAUGAGUACAGGAAUCUAAAAUACACACUAACAUAUAAUGAGUCCAAGCAUUAAAUACUAGGAGAAGUGUUCACAACAUUCAUGGAGUUACACAACGAUGCACAAGUAAUGGUACAUCAACAUCAGAACUGCAUGUUUUAUUUUAGACAGAAUGCGUUAAGCUCCAAA
Phoenix dactylifera (date palm) is the source of this 1692-nucleotide non-coding RNA. The record is from RefSeq and is a predicted model, not a curated record. Lineage: Eukaryota; Viridiplantae; Streptophyta; Magnoliopsida; Arecales; Arecaceae.